This 1801-nucleotide long non-coding RNA is filed under the name Homo sapiens (human). Its description in RNAcentral is "non-protein coding lnc-TADA1-3:1". The record is from RNAcentral. Lineage: Eukaryota; Metazoa; Chordata; Mammalia; Primates; Hominidae.
AAUCACCUCAAGCCCAUAAGCAUAAAUUUUGGUAGUUAAUUAUCUCUAAAAUGAUGAGAAUCAUUAAGUCAAUCUAAAACUCUUUGAAAUUUUUGCCUAGGCUAUAAUUAAUGGAUGUGAAUGAAAAGGAAAAGGAGGGGACAGCAAAAAUUUAAAGUAAAAUGUUAUUACAAAAUAAAUGUAUAUAAAUCAGUAACUUUCCUAAAAACCCAAAGUAAUCAGACAGAAAAUACAAAGGGAAAAUCUAUUUUAGCAAAUAAAAAUGAAUAAGUAUAGACUUAAGUAGAGGUAUGAUCAGACAGGUGGUUUUAGGCUUAUUUUUUCCUUGAAAAAAUGUACUUGACAGUCAGUUUACUGUAAUAUUGCCCAACAGGAACAACGGAGGCAUUGGACUCAUUUCUCUACAAAGAGAACUCUUUACAGUUCAGAAUUUUGCUUAUAAUGACAGACCUAAAUUAAUACCAGUAAUUACAUUAUAACUUAACAGGAGGAAGAUUAUAGAUGCUAAAAUGCAGCAUAACAAACAAAAUUAAAACAGACAAAAAGGGGUUGAGAAGAGAAACUUCCAAAGGGUAAAAAAGACACCACAACUAAAAGAAUUUGGAUUAAGAGAAGCCCCUGGAAAAAAGCAUUAUGAAAGUUGAGAGAAAAAAAAAUCAUGCAAAUGUGAUGUAUAUUAAAAUGUUAAGGGAUAGGCCGGCGCGGUGGCUCACGCCUGUAAUCCCAGCACUUUGGGAGGCCGAGGAGGGCGGAUCAUGAGAUCAGGAGAUAGAGACCACGGUGAAACCACGUCUCUACUAAAAAUACAAAAAAUUAGCCGGGCGUGGUGGCAGGCGCCUGUAGUCCCAGCUAAUUGGGAGGCUGAGGCAGGAGAAUGGCGUGAAGCCGGAAGGCAGAGCUUGCAGUGAGCCGAGAUUGCGCCGCUGCACUCCAGCCUGGAGAGACAGAGCGAGACUCCAUCUCAAAAAAACAAAAAAAAAACAAAAAAAAAGAAAAAAGUUAAGGGUUAAAAACAAAAAGUAUUAGAAAAAUAUGUUGAAUACUUAAGAGAAAAAAGGCUGCUUUUUUAAAAAAAUGAAUUAUACUUCAAGAAGACUUUUUUUUUACUUAUACUUUCUAUUUUUAUUAUUAUACUUUAAGUUCUAGGGUACAUGUGCACAAUGUGCAGGUUUGAUACAUAGGUAUACAUAUUCCGUGUUGGUGUGCUGCACCCAUUAACUCGUCAUUUACAUUAGGUAUUUAUCCUAAUGCUAUCCCUCCCCCAGCCCCCCACCCCCGACAGGCCCUGGUGUGUGAUGUUCCUUGCCCUGUGUCCAAGUGUUCUCAUUGAUCAAUUCCCACCUAUGAGUGAGAACAUGUGGUGGUUGGUUUUCUGUCCUUGUGAUAGUUUGCUGAGAAUGAUGGUUUCCAGCUUCAUCCAUGUCCCUGCAAAGUACAUGAACUCAUCCCUUUUUAUGGCUGCAUAGUAUUCCAUAGUGUAUAUGUGCCACAUUUUCUUAAUCCAGGCUAUCAUUGAUGGACAUUUGGGUUGGUUCCAAGUCUUUGUUAUUGUGAAUAGUACUGCAAUAAACAUACAUGUGCAUGUGUCUUUAUAGUAGCAUGAUUUAUAAUCCUUUGGGUAUAUACCCAGUAAUGGGAUUGCUGGGUCAAAUGGUAUUUCUAGUUCUAGAUCCUUGAGGAAUCACCACACUGUCUUCCACAAUGGCUGAACUAAUUUACACUCCCACCAACAGUGUAAAAGCAUUCCUAUUUCUCUACAUCCUCUCUGGCAUCUGUUGUUUCCUGAUUUUUUAAUGGUAGC